This is a long non-coding RNA of Homo sapiens (human), 3477 nucleotides long. Ensembl annotates it as UBA6 divergent transcript. Its record names the gene UBA6-DT. The record is from Ensembl. NCBI's taxonomy places the organism in Eukaryota, Metazoa, Chordata, Mammalia, Primates, Hominidae.
AGAUGUAGAUGGAACCAAAGUCCAGAAGUUACGCGUCACCCUUGCUCUACAGCCAAACAUGCAGGACUCUAGUAACCCGCGAAAUGAUGGGAUAGCGUUGCAAAUCCUUAAAAGAGUCUUAACGGAGAAGGGAAAAUGUUACAUUGUCAAAGUCCCAAAGCCUUUCAGCCUGAAGCCAGGAACAAUUGUUCAAAGUUUCUUUGGAACAUCAAGGAAGGAAAUCCAGAUUUUACUUUAAGUGCAAUGGGGAGUCAUUAAGGAUUUUGUGUAGAUACAGCAAAAAGACAACAAUCUUCAAGCCACAAUGGCCCUCACCAGAACCCAGCCAUGUGGUCAGCCUGAUCUCGGACUUCACAGCCAGCAGAACUGUUUGUCAAAGAUCAGAUGGUUUCCUUAAGCUGAUAAGCAACUUCAACAAAGUCUCAGGAUACAAAAUCAAUGUGCAAAAAUCAUAAGCAUUCUUAUACACCAAUAACAGACAAACAGCCAAAUCAUGAGUGAACUUCCAUUCAUAAUUGCACAAAGAGAAUCAAAUACCUAGGAAUCCAGCUUACAAGGGAUGUGAAGGACCUCUUCAAGGAGAACUACAAACCACUGCUCAAUGAAAUAAAAGGGGACACAAACAAAUGGAAGAACAUUCCAUGCUCAUGGUUAGGAAGAAUCAAUAUCGUGAAAAUGGCCAUACUGCCCAAGAUAAUUUAUAGAUUCAAUGCCAUCCCCAUCAAGCUACCAAUGACUUUCUUCACAGAAUUGGAAGAAACUACGUUAAAGUUCAUAUGGAACCAGAAAAGAGCCUGCACUGCCAAGACAACCCUAAGCAAAAAGAACAAAGCUGGAGGCAUCAUGCCACCUGACUUCAAACUAUACUACAAGGCUACAGUAACCAAAGCAGCAUGGUACUGGUACCAAAACAGAGAUAUAGACCAACGGAACAGAACAGAGGCCUCAGAAAUAACACCACGCAUCUACAGUCUAUGGUAUUUUACUAUGGAAGCCCACCCUAAGAUUUCAAUUUAGCUUCCAUGUAGUUCCCUGGUGCUUGGCAAUCUCCUGACUCACUACCUUGUCACAUGGUCUAUCCCAAGUCAGUCCUUCUCCUCUUCCCAUAUCCCCCUACUCCAAUAUUCACCCAUAUGUGGCCAAGUCUUCCUCCACCUGAGCUCCUUGCAGAGGAAUGAACAAUUGUUUGAACAUUAAUGAAUAUUAAAUUUCAACAAGAAAGAAGCAUUAAAGGUCGCAGAGAGCAGAAAAAGGAAGAAAGUAACCGUCACUCGGAUCUUUCCAGACAAGGUUAUCUGAUCAUUUCAAAUUGGGACCACUUAGGAACUUUUUCUGUGUUGUUUCUUUAACUUUCAUGCAUUGAGUUGUGUGAGUACCCAAGAGUUCCUACAAAGAGGCUUGAUGGAAGAGACUUAAUAAUGUUUACAGAAUGUACCAAGAGGUCCAUCAGGGUGGGUCAGUUUGGAAAAUACAGAAGAAAACUCACAUUAAUAGAAAGUUCAAAUACCUAUGUAGUAGGAAGGAGACUGAGUGAAAAACACAUGCAAGAGAUUAGUUUUGAAUAGUGAAAGAAACUUGUUUAUCCCAAGCCCAGAGGGUGAGAAUGAGUACAAACAUAAAUGUAUCAAGGAGAAAGGAAAUUAAAGGACUUCUCAUAUGAUUGCUUCCAUUUUUUCUCUGGUUAGUAGGAGAAAAUAUAAUAUGCUAAAGAAGAUAAGGACAUGGUGAGGUACGUAGGUAAAGAAUAUAAUGAAAGUCCGGCAUAGCACUAUAAAAAUGCAUUAAUAAUUGUACAGUGUGUUAAGGACCCACAUGUGAUUAUGUAACUCCAGUUUACAAGAAGGCAUGAUUUCUUCUAGCUGUUCUCAGCAGCUUGCAUAUAACAGCAAAUACAGUUGAUAGAUCGUUCUGUGGUUGAUGAUUAUUUGAAUGGGUGUCGGGUAAGUCAAGGAUGAAGUCACCGAGAGUGCUGUCAAUAGAGUGGCUGAAAUAAUAAAACAAGGGUCCUAGGCUGUUUAAGGUUAGGAGAGAGUCAUGAGGGUGGGGGGUUGAUGGACUGAGAAGAAAUUAAGAGGAACAGAGUUUUAAGCUCUUCAUGAUACUGAAGAAUGGGUUUAGUGGGACAGUUGCAAAGCUAGAAAUUUGUAAUUAGAGAUGAUGAUUAUGUAUUGCAAAUACUUGUUUGCAUGUCUGCUAGCUCCUAGAGUACAGGAAUAUGCUGUGUUCAUUUUAACUUCCCUGAACAUAGCACCGUAUCUGGCACAUAGGUAGUAGUCAAUAAAUAAUCACUACAUGAAAGAUUGCAUGAAUAAAAUAAAGGUUUUCUUGGAUUUAUCACUGAUUCUACCUGCUUAGAAACUUUUGUUAGCUCUGGGACUAUUGUUCAUAAACAGCAACAAUUGUUAAAAGCACAUUAAGCAUAAGGAAAAACAUCUUAGUGUAGAGUUCAGAGCAUAGGCCCUAGAGCCCAAUUUCCUGCGUUUAAAUCUCAGUUCUUUUGCCGCUUAAUAGCUCUGUGAGUUUAGACAAAUUACUUGAUCUUUUUGUCUCAAUUUCCUCAUCUAGAAAUAGGGCUUACAAUAGCACAAAUAUACUGCAGAGGACUGAGGUAACUAUAAUAAAUUAAUAUUUGUAAAGUGCUGAAAACAGUGCUUGGCACAUGGGAAUACUAUAUAAGAGUUGUUAAAUCAAUAAAAUAUUUAGGAUGUUGGAAUCACAUUGUGAAAGCUCCAUGAUUGUUAAUUUUGCUAUUAGACACAGCUGAAUGUUUCUCAGUGAAAUGACAAUCAUACUAAAGUCACCAGUAAACCAUCUCAUCUCUUCAUUGCUUAUUCUAAAUUGAGUUUCUUUCCCACUCCUGCUCACAGCUUUAUACAGCAAGGUAAUUUAGCACUUUAGGACUUUAAUGAGACCUAUUUGAUAUCAUUGUAAUUCUAAUUAGAUACUUUGGCUAGGAAACAUACUUAAGCCUUUAAAAAUUGUCAAUCCCUUGAGAAAACUGAACUGAUUAUUUGGAAAUUUAAAACUACAAGAAUAAAGUUCUUGAAAUUAGAAUAAACAGACUUACCUGGCAGGCAUCCACACGUGGCUCCAGGAACCCGGCACACAACAUUCCAGAUGUGAUGACUCUGCCAUCUGCCUCCCCAUUGUUGCAGGUCCUAUUAUCUAUAAUCUUCACUAAUCCCUUGUGGAGUACAUUAGAAGUUGUUCGUAAAGGAAGAAAAUUGUAUAAUUUUUAUUGAUGUCACUAUUAAUCUUUCUGGCUAGGCUAUUAGUAUCUAACUUUAACACUAUGUACAAUUUCUAAAUCAAAUCAGUGUAAAGUAUAAUUAAGCUUUUAGCUGUAGUAACAAAAAAGCAAGUAAUGUUUAUAAACAUACCAAGCUGUUGCUGAAAAAUGACCAUUUUUAGAAAUAUUUAGUGUGUACAUCUAUAUGUAAUAAGAUUUUUUCUUUUGAAUUGUUUUGAAAUUUUAUA